CAAAGAGGGGCUCUGGCCUCAGCAUGAUUGCAAUAGAUUAGCUGAUCGGUAACGCUCCCUAAGGCACGAUUCCUAGCUGUCGGAGAGGAUGCAGGCCAACCUGAACUAGACCGUUCCAGCUCCUACCGGAGGCAGCAGUGGGAAUAUUGCACAAUGGCCAAGCCUGAUGCAGCAUGCCGCGUGUAUGAAGAAGCCUUCGGGUGUAAGUACUUCAGCGGGGAGGAAGGGAGUAAAGUUAAUACCUUACUCAUGACGUACCCGCAGAAGAAGCACCGGCUAACUCGUGCAGCAGCCGCGGUAAUACGGAGGGUGCAAGCGUAAUCGGAAUUACUGGGCGUAAAGCGGCACGCAGGCGGUUUGUUAAGUCAGAUGUGAAAUCCCCGGGCUCAACCUGGGAACUGCAUCUGAUACUGGCAAGCUUGAGUCUCGUAGAGGGGGGUAGAAUUCCAGGUGUAGCGGUGAAAUGCGUAGAGAUCUGGAGGAAUACCGGUGGCGAAGGCGGCCCCCUGGACGAAGACUGACGCUCAGGUGCGAAAGCGUGGGGAGCAAACAGGAUUAGAUACCCUGGUAGUCCACGCCGUAAACGAUGUCGACUUGGAGGUUGUGCCCUUGAGGCGUGGCUUCCGGAGCUAACGCGUUAAGUCGACCGCCUGGGGAGUACGGCCGCAAGGUUAAAACUCAAAUGAAUUGACGGGGGCCCGCACAAGCGGUGGAGCAUGUGGUUUAAUUCGAUGCAACGCGAAGAACCUUACCUGGUCUUGACAUCCACGGAAGUUUUCAGAGAUGAGAAUGUGCCUUCGGGAACCGUGAGACAGGUGCUGCAUGGCUGUCGUCAGCUCGUGUUGUGAAAUGUUGGGUUAAGUCCCGCAACGAGCGCAACCCUUAUCCUUUGUUGCCAGCGGUCCGGCCGGGAACUCAAAGGAGACUGCCAGUGAUAAACUGGAGGAAGGUGGGGAUGACGUCAAGUCAUCAUGGCCCUUACGACCAGGGCUACACACGUGCUACAAUGGCGCAUACAAAGAGAAGCGACCUCGCGAGAGCAAGCGGACCUCAUAAAGUGCGUCGUAGUCCGGAUUGGAGUCUGCAACUCGACUCCAUGAAGUCGGAAUCGCUAGUAAUCGUGGAUCAGAAUGCCACGGUGAAUACGUUCCCGGGCCUUGUACACACCGCCCGUCACACCAUGGGAGUGGGUUGCAAAAGAAGUAUGGUAGCUUAAUCUUCGCUCAGAUGCAAAGCACUUCUAUCCAUAUUUC
Molecule: ribosomal RNA, 1253 nt
Filed under: Escherichia coli
Lineage: Bacteria; Pseudomonadati; Pseudomonadota; Gammaproteobacteria; Enterobacterales; Enterobacteriaceae
Description: bacterial SSU rRNA
Rfam family: Bacterial small subunit ribosomal RNA
Source: RNAcentral